UAGAUGGAUGCCCGCUGGUUUAGGCGCCUAGCUGUUAACUAGGACUUUGAGGGAUCGAGGCCCUCCUAUCUAU
This 73-nucleotide transfer RNA is filed under the name Gymnothorax formosus (palenose moray). RNAcentral describes it as "tRNA-Asn". Lineage: Eukaryota; Metazoa; Chordata; Actinopteri; Anguilliformes; Muraenidae. The record is from RNAcentral.